GGAGAAUGUUAUCACGGGAGACACACGGCGGGUGCUAACGUCCGUCGUGAAGAGGGAAACAACCCAGACCGCCAGCUAAGGUCCCAAAGUCAUGGUUAAGUGGGAAACGAUGUGGGAAGGCCCAGACAGCCAGGAUGUUGGCUUAGAAGCAGCCAUCAUUUAAAGAAAGCGUAAUAGCUCACUGGUCGAGUCGGCCUGCGCGGAAGAUGUAACGGGGCUAAACCAUGCACCGAAGCUGCGGCAGCGACACUAUGUGUUGUUGGGUAGGGGAGCG
Molecule: ribosomal RNA, 274 nt
Filed under: Escherichia coli
Lineage: Bacteria; Pseudomonadati; Pseudomonadota; Gammaproteobacteria; Enterobacterales; Enterobacteriaceae
Description: partial 23S ribosomal RNA
Rfam family: Bacterial large subunit ribosomal RNA
Source: RNAcentral